UGCUCCUUGUUCUUUAGUUAGAUCUCAGGGUCUGUUUUGACUGGUUAUGUUUCAAAUAAUCUUCAGCUUGGGAGACUCACUCUCUCUUGCACAUCUGAGAUAUUUUCUUCUGGAUACACCUGCAUCAGAUGAGAUGUAGAGUAUGAGUAUUUUGAAGAGGGUUGCACAUGGUAGUGAGAGUAAAUGAGGAAGAUGGAGCAGGAUAUUCUGGAAGCUGGAUCCUGAACUCCACUGCAGCCUAAGCUGCCUCCAGUCUUCAUAUCUUGACCAGCAAUUAAGUUUGAGGUCCAAAGGGGUGUCUCUCCUCAAUGGCUCCUCCAUCACCUGUGUUAUGAAAUUAUCUGGAGUUGCUCUCUAGCAUGAGGACAAAUUCUUUAAUAUGAGGUGUUAAGAAGUGAAGUAUUUACUUGGGUAACUUAAACUGACAACAGAUGAUGUGUAUUGGAUACCAGGAAUAAUCAAUUUUUUAAAAAGUCUCUUUUCUGUAUGUUUGCACAUGUUUGUUUUCAAAUAUUGAAACCCUUGCCAGGAGACACUACAACUGCAUGCUUACUUUGAGUCAUGACUUCCCUUCUGAAAACUUUUUAAGAGCUUGAAUGUCAGAAGUUUGUCAGGCCUGCUGGAAGCAAAUUAAUGUUCAAUAAGUGAGGAAUGCUUUUGGAAAUACCAUUGUAAAUUUUCUAAGAAAAAUCUCUACUCCUGAACRUUGCAGUGAGCAUGAGAAAUCCUGAGGCUAUAUCUCAUUCUUGCAACUUGUUUUUUUGCUGAUUGCUUUGUUUGUUUUAUGGGUUAGAAUUAAUUAAUUCGACCUUCUUGAGCACUUUCUUUCUUUCUUUCCACACCAUAUCAGAUUUUAUUUAUUUAUUUUUUUUUAUCUCCAGAGAAAGUACCUAGGGGUGAUUUUUUGCUUCCUGUUCAUGGCAGAAAUAGAGAGGGCUAUGCCCAGAGAAUCCACUAUGAAGGCAAGGUGGACUUGUGCUCCCAACUCUCCCUAGCUCUCUUUCCCCAUAUAAGAUAAUGAUAGAGAUACUUAACUCUUUAUAGUGUCAAUAUCUUGCACUUCUGAUCUGCAACCAAAGGAUUUAGCUCCACUAACUGAAUUGCAUGCUGCCCCACAAACGAUGUUCCCAGGCUCCAGCUGGAAAGCUGGGUUAGUAUGGAGUCAAUAUUUGUUGUCACUUCCCUUCAGUUGUUUGCACUGCUGGUAUGUGGAUAUACUGAUGCAGGAGAAGUUAUCAAGAUAGAUGACUCUGAGGGUCUGGAAAGGGAAUAUGUCC
Long non-coding RNA from Nothoprocta perdicaria, 1277 nucleotides. RefSeq lists it as uncharacterized. The record is from RefSeq and is a predicted model, not a curated record. The transcript is spliced from 3 exons. NCBI's taxonomy places the organism in Eukaryota, Metazoa, Chordata, Aves, Tinamiformes, Tinamidae.